Molecule: long non-coding RNA, 556 nt
Organism: Brassica napus (rape)
Lineage: Eukaryota; Viridiplantae; Streptophyta; Magnoliopsida; Brassicales; Brassicaceae
Exons: 2
Source: RefSeq, a predicted model, not a curated record
UUCAGGGUAUUGUGAAACAUCCUUUCAAUGAGAAGUUAUUCCUAGCUGCUACAAGGAAGCUUGAAGAAACAUUAGCAAGGUACCAGUUGAUAAGAGUACCUUCUAGAGGCUUCCGUAAACUACAAAUUUGUAGAUUUGUUUGAAGUUGUUAGGAAGGUUGUGUUUGUUGAUUCAGUGAGCGACUAGGACAAGAUUUCAGAAAACCACACCAACAAGAUGUGACUCACCGAGAAACUCUAUGAAACACACUCAUUCCAUCUUUGAGCACAUGGCCUUCCUCUUAACACUCACCAAUUACAAUCUUUUGGAAGAGAAAUCCCGAGUUCCAUUGACAUGCUGUGAAUAGUUCCAAGACAUCCUCUCUCAAAUUAGUUUGGAGUUUUGAAAUGGAGUUAGGAGAGAACAAACAUUUGAUUAGUGAAAUCGUCACCUAACCAAGUUUAUUUUCAAAUCAAUGUUCACAUUAAAAAUAUCUAACGUAUAUGGUGACCACUUUCGUGUGUAUAUAUUAUUUCACAUUUAUGUUAAUUGAUUAGAAUUCAGUUUGGAGCGUUCA